Molecule: long non-coding RNA, 1084 nt
Organism: Lycium ferocissimum
Lineage: Eukaryota; Viridiplantae; Streptophyta; Magnoliopsida; Solanales; Solanaceae
Exons: 3
Source: RefSeq, a predicted model, not a curated record
AAUACCACUAAGAAACUUAGUGGAUAUUUUUUAUUAAUAAAAGCAAAGUACAAUAAAAACAAAGUUCCGACAAAACCAAAUGAAAGAAGCAAACAAUAUAAAGAAAAGGGAUCUGGGUUUCCUAAAUAAACCCAAGAAUCUCGGUCAAAGAAAGCAUCUCAGAUGCAACUUAGCUGCACUCCGCCUCUAGAAUGAAAGAUCUGCACACUUGGAGAGUUUUUUUUUUUUUUUUGAUGUUCAUCUUCAAUUGACUUGGCUUUUCCUCUCUAUCUGAAGAAAUCCUCGACCUCUUCAUCUUCUUCAUCAAGCUGAUGUAACCUAUAUUUUGGUGACAUUACAUUGGGUAGUACCUUGUCCUCCUCAAUGUUAAGUGAUUCCAUUCCACCAGGUACAUUCCCUUCCUCAAUUACUUCUUUGUUCUCUCCUAAUAAUCUUGCAUUAGCUGCACUUGUACCAAUACCCAGCUCAGCCCCUUUAGAACUGUUACUCUCAAUCUGAAAUUCUGCUCCCUCCUUAAUAUAGGUAUGAUUUUCCUCCUGUAAAGAAUGGCUGUUUUCAGCAUCAAUUUUCAGUUCUGCUGGAACCAGAACUUUCUCCUCCGUUUGCUCAUUUUUUCCAGCAAAUUGCGCCAAUUCUGUAUCAAGGUAUUAUUGUCCUCAACUCUUCCAAGUCUGGCCAUCCAUAGGAAAAUUUUCCUAUAACUGCAUAUUGAAGGUUCUCUAUUUCAUUCAUACGUGCAACUUCAGCCUCAGUCCAUUUUACAACAGGUUUUCCAUUGACAAAAGUGAUUGGUUUUAUAGGUAUUGGAUCAACAACAUUCUUCAAGGAUUGGUUCAAAAAAUAAGGGUUCAAAGCCUGUGCAUACUUCAAAGUGGGAAUAACAGAUGUUGUAGGGUUAGGGCUAGGAUUGGGGUUAGGAUUAGGAAGAAUGAUUUUGUUUAGAGGAUUAGGGUUUAAAGGUGGGAAUUGAUUUAGAGAGGGUGUAACUAUCAUAUUAGAAGUGGAGGGAGGCUGGCCAGCCACCAAGGACUGGUCGGCAGCCACAGUGACCAUGGCGGCAGGAUCACUCAACUACGUUUAGCAU